GACGAACGCUGGCGGCGUGCCUAAUACAUGCAAGUUGAGCGCUGAAGGUUGGUACUUGUACCAACUGGAUGAGCAGCGAACGGGUGAGUAACGCGUGGGGAAUCUGCCUUUGAGCGGGGGACAACAUUUGGAAACGAAUGCUAAUACCGCAUAAAAACUUCAAACACAAGUUUUAAGUUUGAAAGAUGCAAUUGCAUCACUCAAAGAUGAUCCCGCGUUGUAUUAGCUAGUUGGUGAGGUAAAGGCUCACCAAGGCGAUGAUACAUAGCCGACCUGAGAGGGUGAUCGGCCACAUUGGGACUGAGACACGGCCCAAACUCCUACGGGAGGCAGCAGUAGGGAAUCUUCGGCAAUGGACGAAAGUCUGACCGAGCAACGCCGCGUGAGUGAAGAAGGUUUUCGGAUCGUAAAACUCUGUUGGUAGAGAAGAACGUUGGUGAGAGUGGAAAGCUCAUCAAGUGACGGUAACUACCCAGAAAGGGACGGCUAACUACGUG
This 497-nucleotide ribosomal RNA is filed under the name uncultured bacterium. Its description in RNAcentral is "partial 16S ribosomal RNA". It matches the Rfam family "Bacterial small subunit ribosomal RNA", at positions 28 to 507 of the family's 1533-position model. The record is from RNAcentral.